This 468-nucleotide ribosomal RNA is filed under the name uncultured bacterium. RNAcentral's name for it is "partial 16S ribosomal RNA". It matches the Rfam family "Bacterial small subunit ribosomal RNA", at positions 28 to 507 of the family's 1533-position model. The record is from RNAcentral.
GACGAACGCUGGCGGCGUGCUUAACACAUGCAAGUCGAACGGAAAGGCCCUGCUUUUGUGGGGUGCUCGAGUGGCGAACGGGUGAGUAACACGUGAGUAACCUGCCCUUGACUUUGGGAUAACUUCAGGAAACUGGGGCUAAUACCGGAUAGGAGCUCCUGCUGCAUGGUGGGGGUUGGAAAGUUUCGGCGGUUGGGGAUGGACUCGCGGCUUAUCAGCUUGUUGGUGGGGUAGUGGCUUACCAAGGCUUUGACGGGUAGCCGGCCUGAGAGGGAGACCGGGCACAUUGGGACUGAGAAACGGCCAAGACGCAAACGGGAGGCAGCGGUGGGGAAUAGUGCACAAUGGGCGGGAGGGUGAUGCAGCAACGCCGGGUGCGGGAGGUGGGCCUGCGGGUUGUAAAACGCUUUCGCCUGAGACGAAGGGUGAGUGACGGUAAGGGAAAAAGAAGCACCGGUUAACUACGUG